AUUGAACGCUGGCGGCAGGCCUAACACAUGCAAGUCGCACGAGUGGCGGACGGGUGAGUAAUGUCUGGGAAACUGACCGAUGGAGGGGGAUAACUACUGGAAACGGUAGCUAAUACCGCAUACCAUCGGAUGUGCCCAGAUGGGAGUAGCUUGUAGGUGAGGUAACGGCUCACCUAGGCGACGAGCCCUAGCUGGUCUGAGAGGAUGACCAGCAACACUGGAACUGAGACACGGUGAAGAAUCCGAUGGGAGGCAGCAGUUGGGAAUAUUGCACAAUGGUCGCAAGCCUGAUGCAGCCAGGCCGCGGGUAUGAAGAAGGCCUUCGGGUUGUAAAGUACUUUCAGCGGGGAGGCGUUACCCGCAGAAGAAGCACCGGCUAACUCCGUGCCAGCAGCCGCGGUAAUAC
This 406-nucleotide ribosomal RNA is filed under the name uncultured bacterium. RNAcentral describes it as "partial 16S ribosomal RNA". It matches the Rfam family "Bacterial small subunit ribosomal RNA", at positions 30 to 526 of the family's 1533-position model. The record is from RNAcentral.